Molecule: transfer RNA, 72 nt
Filed under: Dendronephthya gigantea
Lineage: Eukaryota; Metazoa; Cnidaria; Anthozoa; Malacalcyonacea; Nephtheidae
Description: tRNA-Gln
Rfam family: tRNA
About the family: Transfer RNA (tRNA) molecules are approximately 80 nucleotides in length. Their secondary structure includes four short double-helical elements and three loops (D, anti-codon, and T loops).
Source: RNAcentral
GGUUCUGUGGUGUAAUGGUUAGCACUUUGGACUUUGAAUUCAAGGAUCCGAGUUCAAAUCUCGGCAGGACCU